Molecule: transfer RNA, 72 nt
Filed under: Alosa alosa (allis shad)
Lineage: Eukaryota; Metazoa; Chordata; Actinopteri; Clupeiformes; Clupeidae
Description: tRNA-OTHER
Source: RNAcentral
GCCGUGGCCUACUGGUUAGCGUUUUGGACUUGUAACCGGAGGGUUGCUGGUUCAAACCCUGACCAGUAGGCA